UACGUAGGGGGCAAGCGUUAUCCGGAUUUACUGGGUGUAAAGGGAGCGUAGACGGCGAUGCAAGUCUGAAGUGAAAGGCGGGGGCCCAACCCCCGGACUGCUUUGGAAACUGUAUGCCUGGAGUGCAGGAGAGGUAAGUGGAAUUCCUAGUGUAGCGGUGAAAUGCGUAGAUAUUAGGAGGAACACCAGUGGCGAAGGCGGCUUACUGGACUGUAACUGACGUUGAGGCUCGAAAGCGUGGGGAGCAAACAGG
This 253-nucleotide ribosomal RNA is filed under the name uncultured bacterium. RNAcentral describes it as "partial 16S ribosomal RNA". It matches the Rfam family "Bacterial small subunit ribosomal RNA", at positions 524 to 776 of the family's 1533-position model. The record is from RNAcentral.